UACAGAGGUCUCAACCGUUGUUCGGAUUCAUUGGGCGUAAAGGGUGCGUAGGCGGCCCGACAAGUCCGCUGUGAAAGUCAGGGGGCUCAACCCUUGGAUGCCGGUGGAUACUGUCGGGCUAGAGUCCGGAAGAGGCGAGUGGAAUUCCUGGUGUAGCGGUGAAAUGCGCAGAUAUCAGGAGGAACACCGAUGGCGAAGGCAGCUCGCUGGGACGGUACUGACGCUGAGGCGCGAAAGCGUGGGGAGCAAACAGG
Molecule: ribosomal RNA, 254 nt
Filed under: uncultured bacterium
Lineage: Bacteria
Description: partial 16S ribosomal RNA
Rfam family: Bacterial small subunit ribosomal RNA
Source: RNAcentral